RNAcentral lists this transfer RNA (73 nucleotides) under Tigheibacillus halophilus. RNAcentral's name for it is "tRNA-Ala". It matches the Rfam family "tRNA". From Rfam's summary of the family: Transfer RNA (tRNA) molecules are approximately 80 nucleotides in length. Their secondary structure includes four short double-helical elements and three loops (D, anti-codon, and T loops). The record is from RNAcentral. Lineage: Bacteria; Bacillati; Bacillota; Bacilli; Caryophanales; Bacillaceae. RNAcentral also lists the same sequence under 2 other names.
GGGGCAUUAGCUCAGCUGGGAGAGUGCUUGCAUGGCAUGCAAGAGGUCACGGGUUCGAGCCCCGUAUGCUCCA